CAUAUCAAAAAGCGGAGGAAAAGAAACUAACAAGGAUUCCCCUAGUAGCGGCGAGCGAAGCGGGAAGAGCUCAAAUUUGUAAUCUGGCGCUUUCAGCGUCCGAGUUGUAAUCUCUAGAAAUGUUUUCCGCGUUGGACCGCACACAAGUCUGUUGGAAUACAGCGGCACAGUGGUGAGACCCCCGUUCAUGGUGCGGAUGCCCAAUGCUUUGUGAUACAUUUUCGAAGAGUCGAGUUGUUUGGGAAUGCAGCUCAAAUUGGGUGGUAAAUUCCAUCUAAAGCUAAAUAUUGGCGAGAGACCGAUAGCGAACAAGUACCGUGAGGGAAAGAUGAAAAGCACUUUGGAAAGAGAGUUAACAGUACGUGAAAUUGUUGGAAGGGAAACGCUUGAAGUCAGACUUGCUGUUCGGAGUUCAGCCGCAAGGUGUACUCUCCGAGUUGCAGGCCAGCAUCAGUUUUUCGGGGUGGAAAAUCACGGUUUGAAGGUAGCAGUUUCGGCUGUGUUAUAGCUUUCCGUUGGAUACAUCCUGGGGGACUGAGGAACGCAGUGUGCUUUUAGCGGAGGUUUCGACCUCUUCACACUUAGGA
RNAcentral lists this ribosomal RNA (587 nucleotides) under Rhodotorula sp. H107DO-Y2. Its description in RNAcentral is "LSU rRNA". It matches the Rfam family "Eukaryotic large subunit ribosomal RNA", at positions 39 to 623 of the family's 3401-position model. Lineage: Eukaryota; Fungi; Basidiomycota; Microbotryomycetes; Sporidiobolales; Sporidiobolaceae. The record is from RNAcentral.